Molecule: long non-coding RNA, 749 nt
Filed under: Capsicum annuum
Lineage: Eukaryota; Viridiplantae; Streptophyta; Magnoliopsida; Solanales; Solanaceae
Description: long non-coding RNA (CANN_LNC007314)
Source: RNAcentral
AUUUCUUAAAAUCUAUGUCCGAUCAAAUGACGACACAUAAAAUGGGAUGAAGGUAGUAUUUUUUUUUUUUUGUGUGAAGAAAAACUUUAUUAUUGAUGUCCACUUCACUCUGCCAUUCGUACAUUUCCACAUGACAAUUUACCGCACUACCUCGUAGUGACGUCAUGUGAUCAGGAGGUCACAGGUUCGAGUUUUGGAAAUAGUCUUUGACAACACACUCUUGUGAUAGGGGUUUUAUCCGGAUCUUGCGCAUAACUGAAGCUUUAAUUCACCGGACAAAAUUUUUUUUUUUUUUUUUUUACCACAGUAACACAACUAAACAAAUUAACUUUUGAUUAAGAUACGUUCAAUCCACAUUUUCUCCCUGGAGCACUGCUUCUUAAUGACAAAUUCUUCCUUUCGCAACUUGCACUCCCUUUUGAUAUAUCGUUUACACCACCAUCUCUGAUGAGCGUGUGGUCUUGAAGUCCCACAUUCUAGUACUUGUACAACAAUGCAACAACCAUAGCUACAACCAAUUCUUGACAUACCUCCCCUUUAGUGGUUCUAGACAUUCUCUUCCAGAUCUCCAGUACUUCUGUAUUGGUUAUUCUUUUCUUUAACCAUGCAAGCGUACCCUAAAAAUAUAGGUACGAGAAAGUGCAAUAAAAGAACAAAUGGCCAACAGACUCCACACUGAUCAUUAGCACUAAUAUCCAUUCAAAACAACAUCCAUACGAAGCUACGGUUGGCAACUUACCUUACUACAC